ACCCUUUCUGCUUCCUUGAUUUCCAUUUUCAAAGAAUAUCCGGAAUGCCAAUUUCACAUUUUAUUGGUGAAUCAUAUGCCAAUUGAACAUGAAGGAAAGCUUGGAACUCCAAUGUUAUUGGCCCCUAAUUCCCUAUUUAACUGAAUGCUAAAAUAUUCUAAGCAAGCUGUGGAGAAGGAAAACUUGGCAGUGAUAGAUAAUAUGUAGACGCUUAGGCAUUGCUCUUCUUCAAGUCGGGUCCAACAGUGCAAGGAUCAAAGUUAACUUCUUUGAAU
This 275-nucleotide unclassified non-coding RNA is filed under the name Hevea brasiliensis (rubber tree). Lineage: Eukaryota; Viridiplantae; Streptophyta; Magnoliopsida; Malpighiales; Euphorbiaceae. The record is from RNAcentral.